Biomphalaria pfeifferi is the source of this 426-nucleotide non-coding RNA. Lineage: Eukaryota; Metazoa; Mollusca; Gastropoda; Planorbidae. The record is from the annotation of a GenBank genome assembly.
ACAUUAGCGCAAGUUAUCUUGCCCUGUUGGAUAGAGUUAGUGUACAAAUAUCUCCUAUUAAUGAUGGAAACAUUUUUUUUUCAUAUUCUGAACCAUAUUGGUACCACUGACCUUAAAGCAAACAUUGGUGAUUUUUUUUUUAAUUUAGAAGAAAAAUGUAUAUUAAUAGAAUCUAGAAAAUGUUUACCUAAAGUCAAUUUAUAUAUAUAUAUACUUUUUUCAAUUGUGUAUAUAUAAGAAAAUGAAUAAAGAAAUGCUAACCACUACUGCCAUUAACACUGUUAAUUUUUUUUUCCAUUAAUGAAUUUAAAACUUAAUAUGUAUGGAUUAAAUUUAAAUUAAAAAUAUUUAGCUACAACGUCAAACUAAAUGUGAAAUUAUUUUUGUUAAUAGAUAUCAGACCAUCAUGUAGGGAUCAUCCACAAG